Molecule: ribosomal RNA, 429 nt
Filed under: Acidobacteriota bacterium
Lineage: Bacteria; Pseudomonadati; Acidobacteriota
Description: Acidobacteria bacterium partial 16S ribosomal RNA
Rfam family: Bacterial small subunit ribosomal RNA
Source: RNAcentral
UGGGGAAUUUUGGACAAUGGGGGAAACCCUGAUCCAGCCAUCCCGCGUGUGCGAUGAAGGCCUUCGGGUUGUAAAGCACUUUUGGCAGGAAAGAAACGUCAUGGGUUAAUACCCCGUGAAACUGACGGUACCUGCAGAAUAAGCACCGGCUAACUACGUGCCAGCAGCCGCGGUAAUACGUAGGGUGCAAGCGUUAAUCGGAAUUACUGGGCGUAAAGCGUGCGCAGGCGGUUCGGAAAGAAAGAUGUGAAAUCCCAGAGCUCAACUUUGGAACUGCAUUUUUAACUACCGGGCUAGAGUGUAUCAGAGGGAGGUGGAAUUCCGCGUGGAGCAGUGAAAUGCGUAGAUAUGCGGAGGAACACCGAUGGCGAAGGCAGCCUCCUGGGAUAACACUGACGCUCAUGCACGAAAGCGUGGGGAGCAAACAGG